CAGUCGCCACGGUAACACGUAGGGUGCAAGCGUUAAUCGGAAUUACUGGGCGUAAAGCGUGCGCAGGCGGUUUGUUAAGACAGAUGUGAAAUCCCCGGGCUCAACCUGGGAACUGCAUUUGUGACUGGCAAGCUAGAGUAUGGCAGAGGGGGGUGGAAUUCCGCGUGUAGCAGUGAAAUGCGUAGAUAUGCGGAGGAACACCGAUGGCGAAGGCAGCCCCCUGGGCCAAUACUGACGCUCAUGCACGAAAGCGUGGGGAGCAAACAGGAUUAGAUACCCCGGUAGUCCCUGUCUCUUAUAC
RNAcentral lists this ribosomal RNA (301 nucleotides) under uncultured bacterium. RNAcentral's name for it is "partial 16S ribosomal RNA". It matches the Rfam family "Bacterial small subunit ribosomal RNA", at positions 509 to 807 of the family's 1533-position model. The record is from RNAcentral.